AAUUCGCCCUUAGAGUUUGAUCCUGGCUCAGAUUGAACGCUGGCGGCAUGCCUUACACAUGCAAGUCGAACGGUAACGCGGGGCAACCUGGCGACGAGUGGCGAACGGGUGAGUAAUAUAUCGGAACGUGCCCAGUCGUGGGGGAUAACUGCUCGAAAGAGCAGCUAAUACCGCAUACGACCUGAGGGUGAAAGCGGGGGAUCUUCGGACCUCGCGCGAUUGGAGCGGCCGAUAUCAGAUUAGGUAGUUGGUGGGGUAAAGGCCUACCAAGCCGACGAUCUGUAGCUGGUCUGAGAGGACGACCAGCCACACUGGGACUGAGACACGGCCCAGACUCCUACGGGAGGCAGCAGUGGGGAAUUUUGGACAAUGGGGGCAACCCUGAUCCAGCCAUGCCGCGUGCGGGAAGAAGGCCUUCGGGUUGUAAACCGCUUUUGUCAGGGAAGAAAUCCUUUGGGCUAAUAACUCGGAGGGAUGACGGU
Molecule: ribosomal RNA, 482 nt
Filed under: uncultured bacterium
Lineage: Bacteria
Description: bacterial SSU rRNA
Rfam family: Bacterial small subunit ribosomal RNA
Source: RNAcentral